RNAcentral lists this ribosomal RNA (959 nucleotides) under Limosilactobacillus fermentum. RNAcentral describes it as "bacterial SSU rRNA". It matches the Rfam family "Bacterial small subunit ribosomal RNA", at positions 102 to 1046 of the family's 1533-position model. The record is from RNAcentral. Lineage: Bacteria; Bacillati; Bacillota; Bacilli; Lactobacillales; Lactobacillaceae.
ACGGGUGAGUAACACGUAGGUAACCUGCCCAGAAGCGGGGGACAACAUUUGGAAACAGAUGCUAAUACCGCAUAACAACGUUGUUCGCAUGAACAACGCUUAAAAGAUGGCUUCUCGCUAUCACUUCUGGAUGGACCUGCGGUGCAUUAGCUUGUUGGUGGGGUAAUGGCCUACCAAGGCGAUGAUGCAUAGCCGAGUUGAGAGACUGAUCGGCCACAAUGGGACUGAGACACGGCCCAUACUCCUACGGGAGGCAGCAGUAGGGAAUCUUCCACAAUGGGCGCAAGCCUGAUGGAGCAACACCGCGUGAGUGAAGAAGGGUUUCGGCUCGUAAAGCUCUGUUGUUAAAGAAGAACACGUAUGAGAGUAACUGUUCAUACGUUGACGGUAUUUAACCAGAAAGUCACGGCUAACUACGUGCCAGCAGCCGCGGUAAUACGUAGGUGGCAAGCGUUAUCCGGAUUUAUUGGGCGUAAAGAGAGUGCAGGCGGUUUUCUAAGUCUGAUGUGAAAGCCUUCGGCUUAACCGGAGAAGUGCAUCGGAAACUGGAUAACUUGAGUGCAGAAGAGGGUAGUGGAACUCCAUGUGUAGCGGUGGAAUGCGUAGAUAUAUGGAAGAACACCAGUGGCGAAGGCGGCUACCUGGUCUGCAACUGACGCUGAGACUCGAAAGCAUGGGUAGCGAACAGGAUUAGAUACCCUGGUAGUCCAUGCCGUAAACGAUGAGUGCUAGGUGUUGGAGGGUUUCCGCCCUUCAGUGCCGGAGCUAACGCAUUAAGCACUCCGCCUGGGGAGUACGACCGCAAGGUUGAAACUCAAAGGAAUUGACGGGGGCCCGCACAAGCGGUGGAGCAUGUGGUUUAAUUCGAAGCUACGCGAAGAACCUUACCAGGUCUUGACAUCUUGCGCCAACCCUAGAGAUAGGGCGUUUCCUUCGGGAACGCAAUGACAGUGGUGCAU